RNAcentral lists this ribosomal RNA (433 nucleotides) under uncultured bacterium. RNAcentral describes it as "partial 16S ribosomal RNA". It matches the Rfam family "Bacterial small subunit ribosomal RNA", at positions 29 to 507 of the family's 1533-position model. The record is from RNAcentral.
AGCGAACGCUGGCGGCAUGCCUAACACAUGCAAGUCGAACGAUGCUUUCGGGCAUAGUGGCGCACGGGUGCGUAACGCGUGGGAAUCUGCCCUUGGGUUCGGAAUAACAGUGAGAAAUUGCUGCUAAUACCGGAUGAUGUCUUCGGACCAAAGAUUUAUCGCCCAGGGAUGAGCCCGCGUAGGAUUAGCUAGUUGGUGGGGUAAUGGCCUACCAAGGCGACGAUCCUUAGCUGGUCUGAGAGGAUGAUCAGCCACACUGGGACUGAGACACGGCCCAGACUCCUACGGGAGGCAGCAGUGGGGAAUAUUGGACAAUGGGCGCAAGCCUGAUCCAGCAAUGCCGCGUGAGUGAUGAAGGCCUUAGGGUUGUAAAGCUCUUUUACCCGGGAUGAUAAUGACAGUACCGGGAGAAUAAGCUCCGGCUAACUCCGUG